This 586-nucleotide ribosomal RNA is filed under the name uncultured bacterium. RNAcentral describes it as "bacterial SSU rRNA". It matches the Rfam family "Bacterial small subunit ribosomal RNA", at positions 224 to 806 of the family's 1533-position model. The record is from RNAcentral.
GAUGGGCAUGCGUGACAUUAGCUAGUUGGUGAGGUAACGGCUCACCAAGGCGACGAUGUCUAGGGGUCCUGAGAGGGUUAACCCCCACACUGGUAUUGAGACACGGACCAGACUCCUACGGGAGGCAGCAGUAAGGAAUAUUGGGCAAUGGACGCAAGUCUGACCCAGCCAUGCCGCGUGAAGGAUGAAUGUCCUAUGGAUUGUAAACUUCUUUUAUGCAGGAAAAAACUCCCGGUCGUGAACCGGGACUGAUGGUACUGUAUGAACAAGCAUCGGCUAACUCCGUGCCAGCAGCCGCGGUAAUACGGAGGAUGCAAGCGUUAUCCGGAUUCAUUGGGUUUAAAGGGUGCGCAGGCGGAAUGAUAAGUCAGUGGUGAAAUCUCCCAGCUUAACUGGGAAACUGCCAUUGAUACUGUCAUUCUUGAGUACAGUUGAAGUGGGCGGAAUGUGUCAUGUAGCGGUGAAAUGCUUAGAUAUGACACAGAACACCGAUAGCGAAGGCAGCUCACUAAGCUGUAACUGACGCUCAUGCACGAAAGCGUGGGGAUCAAACAGGAUUAGAUACCCUGGUAGUCCACGCUGUAAA